UGAUAGCUCAGCUGGAUAGAGUGUCUGACUACGAAUCAGAAGGUCGGGGGUUCGAGUCCCUUUCA
This 65-nucleotide transfer RNA is filed under the name human gut metagenome. It matches the Rfam family "tRNA", at positions 5 to 66 of the family's 71-position model. Rfam says of the family: Transfer RNA (tRNA) molecules are approximately 80 nucleotides in length. The record is from RNAcentral.